UUACUGGUAGCUCAGUUGGUAGAGCACGGGACUCUUAAUCUCAGGGUCAUGCAUUUGAGCCCCACAUCGGGCAAA
This is a non-coding RNA of Podarcis lilfordi (Lilford's wall lizard), 75 nucleotides long. NCBI's taxonomy places the organism in Eukaryota, Metazoa, Chordata, Lepidosauria, Squamata, Lacertidae. The record is from the annotation of a GenBank genome assembly.